Molecule: long non-coding RNA, 734 nt
Organism: Ceratitis capitata (Mediterranean fruit fly)
Lineage: Eukaryota; Metazoa; Arthropoda; Insecta; Diptera; Tephritidae
Exons: 3
Source: RefSeq, a predicted model, not a curated record
UAUAAAUUUAUAUAAAUAUACUCUUAUUUACUUUUAUAUAUAGAGAUACAUAUGUAAAAGGUGCUCUAUAGAUGUCAAGACUUUCGAGGACAUUUUUGAUAUGAAAUAAAAGCCCCGCCAUUGUCCAUUCAGUAGUGGCCAUCAAGUUCACACAUAUCUGUAUAUAUACCAUGUAUCGCUGCGAUCUCCGAUACCGAAGCACUCAUGCAAGAGAAUGAAUGUAUGGUUAUUGUAUAUGUCUGGCAAGUGGCAAGCAGGAUGCAUAAAUUACUGUUAUCACAGCUGUCAAACAAUUCCAACAAUAUAUGCAAUAAUAUAAAGCAAAAACAAUUCAAACAAUUAACAAAUGAGCUAGCGAACAAUCAAUGGAUUUGCUUUGGAAAGAAAGCAAAAAUGCAAACAAAGCAAAAUAAGUGUAGGCGACAUUUUGGGGAGAGGAGUAGGAAGGAGUGGGGGCGAUGAGUUGAGAGCAGUCAUUAGUUAGUCACUAACUGUCGAUUGCCAAUUGCCAAUUGUCUACAAUGAAAGCUAAUUAAAACGACAAAACGACGGUUAUAGUAAGAGUUAGCGAAUUGUUAGCUACAAUGGAGUCUACGCAGACCGAGAUGACAAAUUAAAGUUGUUUCAUGGUAACAUCGAUAUUAUUUCCAUUAUUGUUAAAGUGACAUCAGCUCGCCGAUGAUUUUUGCAAAACAAUCAUAUUUAAAAAUAAAUGAAUUUCUCAAUGAGCCAUA